This 73-nucleotide transfer RNA is filed under the name Ursus americanus (American black bear). It matches the Rfam family "tRNA". Rfam says of the family: Transfer RNA (tRNA) molecules are approximately 80 nucleotides in length. Lineage: Eukaryota; Metazoa; Chordata; Mammalia; Carnivora; Ursidae. RNAcentral also lists the same sequence under 2 other names. The record is from Rfam by way of RNAcentral.
GCCUGGCUGGUUUAGUUGGUAGAACAUGCAACUCUUGAUCUCGGGGUCAUGAGUUCGAGCCCCAUGUUGGGUG